RNAcentral lists this ribosomal RNA (465 nucleotides) under uncultured bacterium. RNAcentral describes it as "partial 16S ribosomal RNA". It matches the Rfam family "Bacterial small subunit ribosomal RNA", at positions 28 to 507 of the family's 1533-position model. The record is from RNAcentral.
GACGAACGCUGGCGGCGUGCUUAACACAUGCAAGUCGAACGGAAAGGCCCUGCUUGCAGGGUACUCGAGUGGCGAACGGGUGAGUAACACGUGGGUGAUCUGCCCUGCACUUCGGGAUAAGCCUGGGAAACUGGGUCUAAUACCGGAUAGGAGCCAUUUUUAGUGGGAUGGUUGGAAAGUUUUUUCGGUGUAGGAUGAGCUCGCGGGCUAUCAGCUUGUUGGUGGGGUAAUGGCCUACCAAGGCGGCGGCGGGUAGCCGGCCUGUGAGGGUGGACGGCCACAUAGAGACUGAGAUGCGGCCCAGACACCUACGGGAGGGAGAAGUGGGGAAGAUUGAACAAGGGGCGCAAGCCGGAUGCAGCGGCGCCGCGUGGGGGAUGACUGCCUUCGGGUUGAAAACUCCUUUCGCUAGGGACGAAGCUUUUUGUGACGGUACCUAGAUAAGAAGCACCGGCUAACUACGUG